Molecule: non-coding RNA, 83 nt
Organism: Characodon lateralis
Lineage: Eukaryota; Metazoa; Chordata; Actinopteri; Cyprinodontiformes; Goodeidae
Source: the annotation of a GenBank genome assembly
UGCACGGUGGUGCAGUUGGUUGCACUGUUGGCUUGCAACAAGAAGGUCCUCGGUUCAAUUCCCAGUUGGGGCUCUUUCUGCAU